Molecule: long non-coding RNA, 660 nt
Organism: Brienomyrus brachyistius
Lineage: Eukaryota; Metazoa; Chordata; Actinopteri; Osteoglossiformes; Mormyridae
Exons: 3
Source: RefSeq, a predicted model, not a curated record
CAGGUUCCCGCUGGGGAAACGCGGCGUCAGAACACGGGCAGGUUCCCGCUGGGGAAACGCGGAGUCAGAACACGGGCAGGUUCCCGCUGGGGAAACGCGGAGUCAGAACACGGGCAGGUUCCCGCUGGGGAAACGCGGCGUCAGAACACGGGCAGGUUCCCGCUGGGGAAACGCGGCGUCAGAACACGGGCAGGUUCCCGCUGGGGAAACGCGGCGUCAGAACACGGGCAGGUUCCCACAGGGGAAACGCAGAGUCAGAACACGGGCAGGUUCCCGCUGGGGAAACGCGGCGUCAGAACACGGGCAGGUUCCCGCUGGGGAAACGCGGAGUCAGAACACGGGCAGGUUCCCGCUGGGGAAACGCGGCGUCAGAACACGGGCAGGUUCCCGCUGGGGAAACGCGGAGUCAGAACACGGGCAGGUUCCCGCUGGGGAAACGCGGAGUCAGAACACGGGCAGGUUCCCGCUGGGGAAACGCGGCGUCAGAGCACGAGAGACCCUCUGCACCCAGUGACACAUGGAGUCCUUUCUGGGCACGCGGCACGGACCAGGGUAACCUGGAGGCUGUGAAAGGUUACCCUUAGGGUUACUGCGCUUCUCUACGGUCUGUGUGGGUGUGCGUGCCUUUGACUGUGCGUGUGUCUUUGUGACAUCUAAUCU